UUUUGGCCGUCCCAAAUGACUAGAAAGAAGUACUUUAGCUCCAUUUUGGAUCAAAUGCUUAAUCGUGGGGAUUGCAGCUCUAAUUCUAGUGUCAUCAGUGAUUUUUUGGUUGUCAUCCAAAGGCACAUUCAAAUCAGCCCUCACAAAGACCUUCUUUCCCUUCAAAUCCGUAGCUGUCAGCUCUCCAACACUCUUCUUGGCCAUGGACACCACUGCCCUCGAGGCCUUACCGGACCCAAAUGAUUGGAUUUUGGAUGCAACAUGGUGACUAAAAAGAGGGUCAGCAGCAGCGAAGCCGAGGCGGCGAAGACUGGUGGAGCGGAGGCCGGUAGAGGAAACUGGAAGAAGGGAAGCACGAAGGCGGGUGUUGGAGAAGGAAGAAGCUGUGGUUUUAAGAAGAGAAAGGGUAGUGGGUGCUGUAGCAGAGGC
Molecule: unclassified non-coding RNA, 429 nt
Filed under: Hevea brasiliensis (rubber tree)
Lineage: Eukaryota; Viridiplantae; Streptophyta; Magnoliopsida; Malpighiales; Euphorbiaceae
Source: RNAcentral